Molecule: ribosomal RNA, 465 nt
Filed under: Vreelandella stevensii
Lineage: Bacteria; Pseudomonadati; Pseudomonadota; Gammaproteobacteria; Oceanospirillales; Halomonadaceae
Description: partial 16S ribosomal RNA
Rfam family: Bacterial small subunit ribosomal RNA
Source: RNAcentral
CCUACGGGAGGCAGCAGUGGGGAAUAUUGGACAAUGGGGGCAACCCUGAUCCAGCCAUGCCGCGUGUGUGAAGAAGGCCCUCGGGUUGGAAAGCACUUUCAGUGAGGAAGAACGCCUGGUGGUUAAUACCCAUCAGGAAAGACAUCACUCACAGAAGAAGCACCGGCUAACUCCGUGCCAGCAGCCGCGGUAAUACGGAGGGUGCGAGCGUUAAUCGGAAUUACUGGGCGUAAAGCGCGCGUAGGUGGCUUGAUAAGCCGGUUGUGAAAGCCCCGGGCUCAACCUGGGAACGGCAUCCGGAACUGUCAAGCUAGAGUGCAGGAGAGGAAGGUAGAAUUCCCGGUGUAGCGGUGAAAUGCGUAGAGAUCGGGAGGAAUACCAGUGGCGAAGGCGGCCUUCUGGACUGACACUGACACUGAGGUGCGAAAGCGUGGGUAGCAAACAGGAUUAGAUACCCUUGUAGUC